Long non-coding RNA from Pezoporus occidentalis (night parrot), 5126 nucleotides. RefSeq lists it as uncharacterized. The record is from RefSeq and is a predicted model, not a curated record. Lineage: Eukaryota; Metazoa; Chordata; Aves; Psittaciformes; Psittacidae. The transcript has 2 exons.
UAUUCUGCUGAUUUGGAAUUGCUCCAGUUUUCAUUUACCAGUUAAACAUCAUGAGUAUUCUUCCCUUAGCUUGUCUUUACCAUACGAGGGUUGGCAUAUCCAUGAUGUUGGGCAAUGCAAAUAAUUAUACACCUGCCUUAUAUCACAACUGUCCAAUCAUUAAACUGUUGUCCCCAAAAAGCAUUGUUUUUAACCCUUCAGCAAGUAUUUUUGUAACAGACAAUAAAAGUUUCUGGCUGCAAAAGCUUAGGGUAUUUUCCCCAUUGUGUUUCUGUUCUUGGAUUUUUGGCACUAAAGUACUGCUGGAGAUCACAAAUGACACAAAACUUCUCUUAAGAAAUGAGAUUUGGUGGUGUGUCACAUAUGGGUUUUUAUUAUCUAUAUUUACUUGGAGCCUAAACUUAAGUGCACUGGGUUGACAGGCAUCUUUUUAUUGACUUCAGCAAGGUUUGGGUCUGCCUUCAAGUUGCUAAUUCACAGAAUUCAGUCAUUUGCAAUUGACAUCUCAGGCGUUCCUGCAUUCUGGCAAAUUAAAUCCUCCAAGAACCCGCAUUUUGAAUGGAAGUCAAGAAUGUGUCAAGCAUGAUGCAGCAUGCUCUUUUUUCUCUUGUUGCUGUUUUGCCUGCUCGUUCUUUCUGUUACACCAUGUAUGAGCCUUCUUGUUUCCUGCAGAUGACUGUUACGAGCUGUGGUGUUCUGGGUAAACAUGCUUUUGAAAGAUGUUCAGUUUUCCUACACCCUGUAUUUCACAGAAAGCCAGAUCUAUAGGUCCUCUGAGAUACAGCUCUGUUUAAAGCUCUUUCCCAUCACUGCAUGUUUUUUCCCUAAAAGCAGCCUGUAAUGCCUGUAUUUCGAAUGUCUGGAUCAGGCCUAUGAUAUGACCUCUUAACUCAUUGAACAAAUGUGUCAAAGUUUAGUUCUGCUUUGUUAAUUCAAAAAUUAUUUGAAGUAGUUCUGUGUAGAAAUACUUCCCUUUGCUCCCAAAUGUGCUUAUAGGCAGGUAACUUUGGGCUUCUUUUGGACAGUUUUUCCACAGAUACAUUUAUGCAGAAAUUGCACUUUAAAUCUGUUGCUGACGUGGGACAGAAUAUUAUUUGUUCUGGGCUUGAGAACAAAUGCUAUUUCUUAGAAACUGAGCAAAAAAAGCGAGCAUGUUUUUUUCUAGGAAAUUACAAUCUGGUUUUUGAAAAGUGGCAAGAGAAAAAGCCUGCUGAAUGUCAGAGCCCAGUACAUGCAGAGGUUCAAAAUUGUUGAAUCAUUGCAGAAAUACUCACCGAAACAUCUCAGUGCCUUUAUGUUCCUUGUUCCAAAGGAACAGCAAUAAAAAGCUAACAAGUCUUUUUACUCUCAGGACUCAUCAAAUAGGUAUUUCUCCCAUGCUUUUAAAUUGUAAAAUACUCUUGACAUCUAAGCACAGAAUAUUCUAAAUACUCAUCUUUUGUCUUUCUCCCUUUAAUUCACAAAAAUAUCAAACCAAACCGUGUUUGAAAGCAGGAGUUGCUCUGGUUUAUGCUCAGCAGUGCUGCCUGGGCAUGUGCUGCCAUGCCAGGUACAUGAGUGCACAUACAGAAGGAGCUGGUUCCUUUCACUGGCAGUCAAAGGUGGGGUUGAAUUCCUCUCUUCCCUCUGCCAUCAAAGGGAAUGGGAUUUUGCUGUUGACUGCACUGGAGCUGAGAUAUAUCCACCCUGGGUUUAGGGUGGUCUGACUCUGCUUCAGGUAUUUACAAAACCAGAAUAACCUAUUUUUGUGUGGCUCAGACUCUGAAAGGUUCGGUACUGAGAAACAGAGUUUCUCUUUAUGGAAAAGAAAAAAAAGUGUAUCAUUUAAUGGGGAUGAAAUUACAGUAGUUCUGUCAAGAUCAAAUGGGCUUCUUCAGGAAUUACUUGAAAAAAUGUAUUAAAUGCAGUCAAAGCUUCAUUCUGUUUGUUAGCUUUGUAUUUUAUCACUGUCAGAGGCUCCGUGAGUGGUCAGUAGUGCUUUCUCAGAAGCUGCAGGGGCACGUUUCCAAGUUUUCAGGAGGGUUAAUCUCUCUUAAAUUCUGUACAUUUGCUGUAAAGACAGUGCAGUGAGCUGGGAAUGCAGUGGGACUUUGCACAGGACAGAGAGUGAUUGAGGACUUGCUAUGAGGAGCUGAACCUGAUCUGUUUGUGAUGUUGCCAUUCGAGAGAGCGUUAGCUUUGCUUAUCAGCUCUCCAUGCAUUGAGUCAUGUAUAUAUUAUAGUCAUGCACACAGGAACCUCAUUAUAAUGCUCCUCGGUUCUCAUUGCCUCAACUAAAGUCCAUUAAAAGUACCACAUUGGAACGUGUAUAUUUUGGACUUCUGUGUGCAGCCAGGGAGCAAGCUGAAGUGCCUGUAAAAUGUAUAUUUUAUAUUUAGGUGUAUAAAAUAUAUAUGUGGCUAUGUCUGGGUGUGUGAAUGUUCACCUGCCUACAAAGAGAAUAAAUUUGAUCUUUCAACUUUUAUGGAGGGGGCAGGGGGACUUGGUGAGUUCUAGGGAAGGUGUGCAGAGGUUAGUAAAAAGUUGUUAUUAAAACAAAAUCCUUCAUUUUGUUUUGAAGGAUAAUGGAAGCAGGAGAUGUUACAGCCUGGCAUUUUGGUGCUUUUUUCCCCAUCCCUUUUUUUUUUUUUUUUUUUACUGUUUUAAAAAAAGAACUUUUCUGCCUUAGUCUAGCUGUAUUAUAUUUCAGUUCUUUCUCCCAUUAACAUACUCUCUUAAUGAAAUCAGAAGCUUUCAGUACUUGUCCCAACUUCUCAAACCUAAAAGCUGCAGUCUUUAUAAUAAGAAGUUUCCUUCUUCUGAAAGAAGUUAAGUGUCUUUUCCUGGUGCAGUUGGCAUUUGGGGGAGUCCCUCUGAUGUCUUGAACCAGUUAAAUAACUUUGCAUCCAGGUCCAUUUCUUCUUUCAGCUUACAGAUACUGUUAUUGACCGCAGUUUUAUUGUACCGGUGGUUAGGGAUCUGCCACAACAGGCUUUUAAGCAAACACAAGGUAGAAAAAGUUCUCCUAUGCCACUAUUUCUCCAUAAUGGCAAUAACGCUUCUUACUUAACAGAUGCAACAAAUUCAUCUAGAUGGCGAGUAGAUCACACAGACCUCUGGGCACCAGGAAGAAGAGAUGCCUCAUUUUGAAACCUAAAGGGGGGAAUAAGAAAAGUCCUUUGUAAUAUAUUGCCAUAUUAUCACUAAAUCCCCUGACAGUUGUGACACAGAAGCAAGUCACCUGUCACUUAAGCUUGAGGUCUCUUUAAUUUUCUCCUGGAAUUCGCACCAGGCUGUCUUUAAUUUGAGGCCUUUAUUGGAAUUCUGAAACCUUUCUACCUCCCCGGUGCUCAGAUCUAUUCUGAGUGCUGUUACAGAAUGUAUACAAUAACCAACAGAGGGAUUCAGAGGGGGCUGAAGCACUGUUUAUUUAACACUCUGGAGGGAUUUUCGUGCUUAUUCGGUCCUGGCUACCCGGCUUUCAAUAUCGCUUUGACAACCGUUAUGCCCUUCUCAUUAAUUUUAAACAGUUAAAACACAGGAAAAAGAGAAAAAGUUUUCAUUAUUAAAGUGCUUUACUUUUUAAUAACAGAGGAUUCUGUCCACCGGGGGAAAGGGCAAACCUCACUAAUUUCACAUUCAUAUUAAAAAACGCUGGGAAGGUGACACUUUGUGCUGCCAGGAGGCUUAACAAAAGAAAAGUGAUGGGGGCUAGGAGGAGCAGGCAGGGCGAGAAAGUUUUAUGUUUCACAUCAAUGGAAACUUCUUAGUCACAAGAGCGAGUGUCCACCUUGGGAGGCAGCACCACUUCUAGUUUAUUAAACCUUUACAGAGGCCCCUCGGCUGGAGACUGUCUCAACUGAUUAAUAAGCACACAUGAAGUCAAACUAAAAGGUGUCUGUGAAACAAGCUGUGUGGUGAGUCUUUCUCAAGUGGAUUGGGAGACAGAUAGCAGAGGCCAGGAACUUGGGAAACUCUUAAUGUAGCCUUAAUGUACCCACCAUUGUCUUUGGAGAUGCUGAGGGACAGUUAGUCCAGGUAGUGAGUGAGCAGCAACUCUAGUGCCUAUGUGUGUUUGCUUCUUUGAACCCAGUGGUGGAAGCUGUGAGAUCUUGAGUUCAAAGGAGGGCACUGUGCAGGAGGUUUUAGGCUACAUUUGAGGUCUGUCUCUGGGCAGGUUUGCUGUUUGGCUAUAGAGUGGUAGAUCUGGGUCACCAAACAUUUUGUGUAGGGUGCCAGCAUCAUUACCUGGCUUCCAGGAUUGCUGAGGUUCGCAGUGUCAGUGUGAUACAGUUCUCCUGGGCUAGCAGCAGUGCAGAGGUGAGCUCACAGCUGUGAGGGAAGGAGGGGUUUGCAGCAUUAGCAUGCAAAUCUGCCAGGAAGGAACAACAGGAUUGUUGCCUUGGCACAGGCCUAGUACAGAAGUGUGGGAGGUGGAUGUUUUCACUCAGCCCUGGUCAGGAGAGGGGAUUGACCAGUAUCAAGUUGCUGCCUUGGACCCUGCACUGUUAGUCCUGGAUGCUGGUUUGUGUCUGAGUAGCUUUUGAGAACUGUGGCCAUUUCUUGGGGAAGGUUCACAUCCAUGGAUGCUUGGCUUUGCACUUUGCUGUCAGCCUCCCAUCAAAAAUUCCCCUGUUCCUUGUCCACGUUUCCUUUCUCUGCCUGGGUAAUUGAGAGAAAGAGAUACAGCCUCUUCUCUCCUCCCAGUAACAGCUUGUUCCCAGGAACGUUUGUUUUCCAUUUCCUGAACUGCAUCCUGAAGUCUGAGCCUGGCAAAGCUUGAGCACGUGCAAAAUUGCCCUUUUGGUUUGAGGAAGCUUAUUCUGUCCUGCCACUGGUGCAAGGGGCGUCUCUUACUCUAGAAGAACCACCUGAUGGCAGUUACAGUGAAGUAUGACUUGUUGACAGUGAGAAAACUUCAUGUGGGCAUUGAUAGUGAGCAGUUCAUACUAUGGCUUUGUUCACAGGUACGGAAUUUGGUCCAUUCUCUGGAGCCUGAGGGUGAACAUAGAUCUUCUGCACAAGGAGCAACUUGCAACAUCAGUCUGAAACUGUUAAUUUAGAGUCUGGGGGGAGUUAUUCCACCUAACUGCAAGGGAAACUAGCAGUGGUAUCUGGCCUGUUGAAUCGGGGAGGGGGUGGAAGUG